UCCGGUUUGGCACCGGCAGUCUCUCAUGAGUCCCCGACAUGACUCGCUGGCAACUGGGAGCGAGGGUUGCGCUCGUUGCGGGACUUAACCCAACAUCUCACGACACGAGCUGACGACAGCCAUGCAGCACCUGUGUCCUAGUUCUCUUUCGAGCACUCCCACAUCUCUGCAGGAUUCUAGGCAUGUCAAGGGUAGGUAAGGUUUUUCGCGUUGCAUCGAAUUAAACCACAUACUCCACCGCUUGUGCGGGCCCCCGUCAAUUCCUUUGAGUUUCAGUCUUGCGACCGUACUCCCCAGGCGGCGAACUUAACGCGUUAGCUUCGACACUGAGAGCCUGAUUGCUCCCAACGUCCAGUUCGCAUCGUUUAGGGCGUGGACUAC
This 381-nucleotide unclassified non-coding RNA is filed under the name uncultured Gammaproteobacteria bacterium. RNAcentral's name for it is "contains 16S-23S intergenic spacer region". Lineage: Bacteria; Pseudomonadati; Pseudomonadota; Gammaproteobacteria. The record is from RNAcentral.